This 480-nucleotide ribosomal RNA is filed under the name uncultured bacterium. Its description in RNAcentral is "partial 16S ribosomal RNA". It matches the Rfam family "Bacterial small subunit ribosomal RNA", at positions 29 to 507 of the family's 1533-position model. The record is from RNAcentral.
AUGAACGCUGGCGGCGUGCUUAACACAUGCCAGUCGAACGAAGCACUUUAUUUGAUUUCCUUCGGGACUGAUUAUUUUGUGACUGAGUGGCGGACGGGUGAGUAACGCGUGGGUAACCUGCCUUGUACAGGGGGAUAACAGUUGGAAACGGCUGCUAAUACCGCAUAAGCGCACGGCAUCGCAUGAUGCAGUGUGAAAAACUCCGGUGGUAUAAGAUGGACCCGCGUUGGAUUAGCUAGUUGGUGAGGUAACGGCCCACCAAGGCGACGAUCCAUAGCCGACCUGAGGGGGUGACCGGCCACAUUGGGACUGAGACACGGCCCAAACUCCUACGGGAGGCAGCAGUGGGGAAUAUUGCACAAUGGGCGAAAGCCUGAUGCAGCGACGCCGCGUGAGCGAAGAAGUAUUUCGGUAUGUAAAGCUCUAUCAGCAGGGAAGAUAAUGACGGUACCUGACUAAGAAGCACCGGCUAAAUACGUG